RNAcentral lists this non-coding RNA (29 nucleotides) under Prorocentrum micans. Lineage: Eukaryota; Dinophyceae; Prorocentrales; Prorocentraceae. RNAcentral also lists the same sequence under 1 other name. The record is from RNAcentral.
UUUUUUUUUUUUUUUUUUUUUUUUUUUUC